This 220-nucleotide long non-coding RNA is filed under the name Phoenix dactylifera (date palm). RNAcentral's name for it is "long non-coding RNA (PDAC_LNC005941)". The record is from RNAcentral. Lineage: Eukaryota; Viridiplantae; Streptophyta; Magnoliopsida; Arecales; Arecaceae.
GCCAAGCUUGAGAUUCUUUGAGAAUGCUUCGUAGAACUUGUUAUAGUCCUCCUUGUUCUCAGCAAUCUCAAAGAAGAGCUCAACGCACUUCUUGACCAGGUUCUUGCGGAUGACCUUGAGGAUCUUGUUCUGCUGAAGCGUCUCCCUAGAGAUGUUGAGGGGAAGGUCCUCAGAGUCGACAAUCCCCUUGACAAAGCUCAAGUACUCCGGAAUUAGUUCU